RNAcentral lists this unclassified non-coding RNA (375 nucleotides) under soil metagenome. RNAcentral's name for it is "partial contains 5.8S ribosomal RNA, internal transcribed spacer 2, and large subunit ribosomal RNA". The stretch from base 1 to 120 matches the Rfam family "5.8S ribosomal RNA", at positions 35 to 154 of the family's 154-position model. The record is from RNAcentral.
GAUGAAGAACGCAGCGAAAUGCGAUAAGUAAUGUGAAUUGCAGAAUUCAGUGAAUCAUCGAAUCUUUGAACGCAUCUUGCGCUCCUUGGUAUUCUGAGGAGCAUGCCUGUUUGAGUGUCAUUAAAUUCUCAACUACACUGACUUUGAAUUGGUGUGGCUUGGAUUGGGGGGAAAAUUGUUGUGGGCUUUUUGUAUAGUCUGCUCCCCUGAAAUUGAUUAGCGGUACCUUUGUGGAACUGUCUACAGGUGUGAUAAUUAUCUACAUCUUAGACAUCUGCUGGAAUGCUGCUUUCUAAACCUUACUUGUAUUGACAAUCUUGACCUCAAAUCAGGUAGGACUACCCGCUGAACUUAAGCAUAUCAAUAAGCGGAGGA